UCCGUAGGGGGCGAUCGUUGUCCGGAUUUACUGGGUGUAAAGGGUGCUCAGGCGGGUCUGUAAGUCAGGGGUGAAAUCCCAGAGCUUAACUCUGGAACUGCCUUUGAUACUGCAGAUCUCGAGUUUGGGAGAGGCGAGUGGAAUAUCUGGUGUGGCAGUGAAAUGCGUAGAUAUCAGAUAGAACACCAAUGGCGAAGGCAGCUCGCUGGCCCAAUACUGACGCUAAAGCACGAAAGCGUGGGGAGCAAACAGG
RNAcentral lists this ribosomal RNA (253 nucleotides) under uncultured bacterium. Its description in RNAcentral is "partial 16S ribosomal RNA". It matches the Rfam family "Bacterial small subunit ribosomal RNA", at positions 524 to 776 of the family's 1533-position model. The record is from RNAcentral.